GGGGUGGAACAUACAUGGAAACCAAAAGGGUUCGAGUGUAUCUGUCACGUCUCAGCAUCACUCUAUUAGGCCAUGGCUCAAGCCCAAAUCAUAGCAAAUAUCCGGGCAACACUGGUUAACAGACAGCCUAAAUGAUUUCAUUAGAGUCUUUAAUUUAGAUUUCAUUCAGCCAGGGUAGGGGACAGGGACAGGGGACAGAGGACAGGGGAGGAGUAGGAGGUGUAUGGUGACAGGGGAGGAGGAGGAGGUGUAUGGUGACAGGGGAGGAGGAGGAGGUGUAUGGUGACAGGGGAGGAGGAGGAGGUGUAUGGUGACAGGGGAGGAGGAGGAGGUGUAUGGUGACAGGGGAGGAGGAGGAGGUGUAUGGUGACAGGGGAGGAGGUGUAUGGUGACAGGGAAGGAGGAGGUGGUGUAUGGUGACAGGGGAGGAGAUGGAGGUGUAUGGUGACAGGGGAGGAGGAGGUGGUGUAUUGUGACAGGGGAGAAGGAGGAGGUCUAUGGUGACAGGGGAGGAGGAGGAGGUGUAUGGUGACAGGGGAGGAUGUGUAUGGGGACAGGGGAGGAGAAGGUGGUGUAUGGUGACAGGGGAGGAGAAGGUGGUGUAUGGGGACAGCACAGACAUGCUGAAGGGUUAGGGCUGCCUGCCUCUGCCUGGCCAUGGAAGGGUUUGAAGUGGGUAAGUACAGAGCGCAAGUGCAGGUCUCUAUCUGAGACUGGCUAGUGAGCUGGCUAGUGAGCUAAAUGAUUAACCGUGCCAAAUAACAGCUCAUUAGGAAUCAGCAUGUCCCAUCCGGAAGAGCAAUGAGAGGCGCCAGCCCCCGCCUACCAGAAUAGUAUGCCUCAUUAGAAACCUUUUUGUCUUGGGUGCAAAUGCCAACUCAGAUCAUCUGGUUACAGUUUGAGCCAAUUCAGAAUAUGAAGACCCACCAGCCAUACUCUCUAACCCUUGUGUGUAUCCACAAACAGCUAACUACCGUACAACCCAGUGUUAAUUCACUUUGGCUAAUAAGUAGCAAUUAAUGAGGUGGUAAGUAGUGAAAAUGUCUUUAAAUGUAAUCUAUUACUAGAUGACAGUGUAGUUGGAAGCGCGUCUGUGGAUGGAAAUUCUACACUGAAUGAGCAAAAGUUGCCAUCUGUCAUUGCUAUUUGGGAUUACUGCAGCGUGACAGUCACUAAAUACUGCAAACUGGGAGCCUUCUGUUCAUAAACAACAUCCAUCUAUUUGUCUUAUGGUCCAAGAUAAUGAAAGCCUGUUUUUUCUACAUUUUAAUAAAAACAUGACAGGUCAAGUCCCAG
RNAcentral lists this long non-coding RNA (1296 nucleotides) under Salmo salar (Atlantic salmon). RNAcentral's name for it is "lncRNA (ENSSSAG00000095345.1)". Lineage: Eukaryota; Metazoa; Chordata; Actinopteri; Salmoniformes; Salmonidae. The record is from RNAcentral.